This 87-nucleotide unclassified non-coding RNA is filed under the name Pseudomonas cedrina. Lineage: Bacteria; Pseudomonadati; Pseudomonadota; Gammaproteobacteria; Pseudomonadales; Pseudomonadaceae. The record is from RNAcentral.
UGUGGGAGCUGGCUUGCCUGCGAUGCGAGCACCUCGGAGCAUCAGGCACGCCGUGCCGAUGCAAUCGCAGGCAAGCCAGCUCCCACA